UACGGAAGGGGCUAGCGUUGUUCGGAAUUACUGGGCGUAAAGAGCGCGUAGGCGGCUUACCAAGUUGGGGGUGAAAUCCCGGAGCUCAACUCCGGAACUGCCUUCAAAACUGGUGGGCUCGAGUCCGGAAGAGGGGAGUGGAAUUCCCAGUGUAGAGGUGAAAUUCGUAGAUAUUGGGAGGAACACCGGUGGCGAAGGCGGCGCACUGGCCCGAGACUGACGCUAAGACGCGAAAGCGUGGGGAGUAAACAGG
This 253-nucleotide ribosomal RNA is filed under the name uncultured bacterium. RNAcentral describes it as "partial 16S ribosomal RNA". It matches the Rfam family "Bacterial small subunit ribosomal RNA", at positions 524 to 776 of the family's 1533-position model. The record is from RNAcentral.